Non-coding RNA from Lactuca sativa (garden lettuce), 1579 nucleotides. NCBI's taxonomy places the organism in Eukaryota, Viridiplantae, Streptophyta, Magnoliopsida, Asterales, Asteraceae. The record is from RefSeq and is a predicted model, not a curated record.
CCAUUCUCGUGCCGUCUAGAGCAAAUUCACAAGGUUACAAGGACGCCACGUUACCUGCAUUCAGACCGACGCAUAACCCUUCUUUGUAAGAGGCGUCUGUUCCACUCUCAUUCAACACCGAUUCGUCACCAACCGUGUUUGAGACUCCGUUUCCCACCACCGCUUCCCUCUUUUUCCUCCUCACUCUUUCUAAUAGCGAUUCCGUUUUUCUAUAUUGAUGUCGUUUUUUCUGUUUCAUUGAUCACUACCACGCCUUCUUCCACCAUCAAUUUCGGUCGAUGUUUCUUUCUAAAUCCAUACAAAAAAGCAGAUGAGGAAAAGGGUUGAUUUUAUGUUUCCCCCCAACGUCACAUGUUGGAUCAUCCACGCUCGCUCCAUCUAUCAUCUGCUCUCCACUGGUAUGUGGUUUUCAUUUUUAUAUUCAUUUUAAUUCUCUUUAUGGGGUUAUCUCUGCACUCCUCUUAGUCCUUAAAUUAUCAUGUUCUGAUGUUUGAUUUCCUUAAGUUAUUUUUUCUAUAAAAGUCCUACGUUUGCAAAAAAUCAUACAUGUAGAAACAGGAAACUUUGUGGAUGUAGAAACAAGAGACUUUGGGAACUGUUAAUUUCAGAUUCAAGUAAUCAUCUAAAAAAGAAAUAAAUGACAAUGUUGAGUGGAGGAGGAUGACGAAUUACUUGAUUGUGGAUUCAGGGAUCAUGCAUCAAUUAUGGUUGGAAGUAGAGCAUUGAACAUAUCCUAAAACACAACAAAACUUGGCCUUCAGUGCACUCAUAGCCAACUAUGUAAAUGGCUCUAUGGUGUGCAACAAACAGAACAAAUUUAGUUUGUCUAUUAGUGUCAUACGUUCAUUUCUUCCUGUUACAACCUUUUACUAUAAAAAUGUAUCCAAUUAGUAAUAACAUGUUCUUUUUUAUUGGUAUAGUUGUAAUUUCCUCAUCAUUCCACAGAUUCAUUUUUAGUGGACUAGCCAUGAUUGUCCAUAUGAUUGUUGCUUCCAUCUGCAUCAGCGUUGUGUUCAUGUUAUCAAGUCCAACAAAAAAGGUUUUAUUUGGAGACUAGAGAGUAAGAAAAUGCUUUAGUAACACAAAUUCCUAUUCCCCGUGACAUUCCACGACUGCAACAUUUUAUUGGCAUUGUAAUUUCAGUUUCUUUUCUAUCAAUGAUUUUGUUGCACUAAUACAUGGUGAGCUUUCCACCUUAAGGUAAGCAAUUUUAUAUUGUUCACCAAUCACCAUAAUUAUUUCUAUUGUUACUUAUAUUCCCUUGAAUGAGCUUAACAGUGUGAUCAGUAUUCCAAUUUCACAUUUACUCUGUAAGUAUAUGAUUAUUAGUUAACGUAUUUAUUGUUGUUCCCCAUAAUAAAUCCCCUUUUAAUAGUUGUUAAUGUUGAUGAUGAUGUUGAAAGUGAAGCAUUGGCAACUCUAUUACUCAGCAAGCUAUGCGAUGGCAUCAAAGUUUCUAUUUUCUCUUGAAAUAAUGAAACAAAUAAUUCUUGAAUGAUAUUGUAUGUUAUUAGGUAUGUAUAACUCAUUCAUUGGUACUUUAUAGGGUAAAUAAAGAAAGUCAUUGUCACUUUCAUAA